Molecule: ribosomal RNA, 459 nt
Filed under: uncultured bacterium
Lineage: Bacteria
Description: partial 16S ribosomal RNA
Rfam family: Bacterial small subunit ribosomal RNA
Source: RNAcentral
CCUACGGGAGGCUGCAGUGAGGAAUAUUGGUCAAUGGGCGCGAGCCUGAACCAGCCAAGCAGCGUGAAGGAUGACUGCCCUACGGGUUGUAAACUUCUUUUAUAAAGGAAUAAAGUGAGGCACGUGUGCCUUUUUGUAUGUACUUUAUGAAUAAGGAUCGGCAAACUCCGUGCCAGCAGCCGCGGUAAUACGGAGGAUCCGAGCGUUAUCCGGAUUUAUUGGGUUUAAAGGGAGCGUAGAGGGGUUGUUAAGUCAGUGGUCAAAUUGAGGGGUUCAACCCCUUCCCGCUAUUGAAACUGGCGCUCGUGAGUGUAAGAGAAGUAUGCGGAAUGCGUGGUGUAGCGGUGAAAUGCAUAGAUAUCACGCAGAACCCCGAUUGCGAAGGCAGCAUGCCGGCUUCCGACUGACGCUGAAGCACGAAAGCGUGGGGAUCGAACAGGAUUAGAUACCCUGGUAGUC